RNAcentral lists this ribosomal RNA (405 nucleotides) under uncultured bacterium. Its description in RNAcentral is "bacterial SSU rRNA". It matches the Rfam family "Bacterial small subunit ribosomal RNA", at positions 354 to 776 of the family's 1533-position model. The record is from RNAcentral.
GUGGGGGAUAUUGGACAAUGGGGGGAACCCUGAUCCAGCGACGCCGCGUGAGUGAAGAAGUAUCUCGGUAUGUAAAGCUCUAUCAGCAGGGAAGAACAUGACGGUACCUGACUAAGAAGCCCCGGCUAACUACGUGCCAGCAGCCGCGGUAAUACGUAGGGGGCAAGCGUUAUCCGGAUUUACUGGGUGUAAAGGGAGCGUAGACGGUGAAGCAAGUCUGAAGUGAAAGCCCGCGGCUUAACUGCGGGACUGCUUUGGAAACUGUUUUACUAGAGUGCUGGAGAGGUAAGUGGAAUUCCUAGUGUAGCGGUGAAAUGCGUAGAUAUUAGGAGGAACACCAGUGGCGAAGGCGGCUUACUGGACAGUAACUGACGUUGAGGCUCGAAAGCGUGGGGAGCAAACAGG